This is a long non-coding RNA of Mercenaria mercenaria, 5570 nucleotides long. RefSeq lists it as uncharacterized. The record is from RefSeq and is a predicted model, not a curated record. The transcript has 2 exons. Lineage: Eukaryota; Metazoa; Mollusca; Bivalvia; Venerida; Veneridae.
UAAUGACCAGGAAACUUAAUACUGGUAUCUGAUUUCUAAGUAAUCAAGUAUAACAGCUUUGACUUUCAAACUUUACACAACAACGAAGUUCUGUAUGAGGAAUAUCACUAUUGACAUUGGGAUUGUGGCUUGUCAGAGGGAUCUGAAUGUCUGCUAAUUGUUUUAUUUCCGGGAUCUGAAUGACAAAGUGUAAUAGCUACAGCUUUUGAAUUUUAUAUCAUUACAAAGCAUCUCUUGAAGCGAAUCUCUAUUAUUGUUGGGGGCAAGAAAAGAAAAGGUCAAGGUCACAGAAAUAUGGAGACUAAAAUGUUUCCUAGACCGUACCUUAUCAAGUAUUAUAUAUAUAUAUAUAUAUAUAUAUAUAUAUAUAUAUAUAUAUAUAUAUAUAUAUAUAGCUUUAAGCAAUGCCUUUAGAUCUAGUAUCAUUCAGUGAACAUUUCCAAAAUAUGAAGGGUCAGUGACGCAACAGGGCAAGGUCAGAAAGUAUAUAACUUUUGUUUCUUCAAUUUAAUUAUUUGAUAGAAAUCACAUCCUACAUCCCCGCACAUACACCACCCUUACCCCUAUCCAGCCCUGUACAUUUUUCCUGCCCUGUCUGCUACGCAUGGUGUAUUAUGCUCGGUUAAGCGGUUAUCCUUUUUCAUCUUGACUUGCAGCUAGAGAUAACCCCAUACACCCAAAAGGUUUUGCUGCGUUUUGUUCAUUUGUCCCUGCUUACAAAACAGUGGAUAUGAUGUUUCAAACAAUGAUUGGUUUCAAUUUCAUGACCUUUUUGCAUGAUUAAAGGCUUUCAAUUUCUACACAUAUAAUGGUAAAGAAUAUUAACUUGAAGACAUUUUAUCAAUAAGUUCUGACAGUUUUAUCCCAAAGAGGGAAUGUUGUAUAAAAUGCGGUGAGGCUUUUGGGUAGAAGGUGUCACUCAUAGCUGUAAACCCUUGCCAGUAUUGAUCAAUGGGUCAGAAAUCUUAUUCCUUACAGUGACUGUUCAGGGAUUUAGAAACAUUAAAUAAUGUACAGAUUUAUAUUAUAUCUUAAAUGACAAGAAAUGCAAGCAUUUUUUAAUUUUACUGAAUAAAUUAUCAUUAUGGGUAAAACGCUACCUUAAUGAUAUGACUUGCUCUGCUCCUCCAGUCUAUGACGCUGUUUGUGUACAUGAUAUUUCAGCAGAAUUGCUUCCCUUUGAAAGGGCUGGACUCCAGAUUGUUGGCUUAAAAGUAUUUUUAUUUAAAACUGAAGUUUUCGCAUAAUGUAAACAUUAGAACAGGAGUUUGUUUUUGGUUGAUGUUUUUGGUGGUUAUGUUUCUCAAUUAUUUUAGACAAUGUUAAAUCAAGAAGAAAACGGAAUUAAACCAUAGUUGCUUCGGCAGAAAUAUUUUCCUACUAACUUGAGAAAUUCAUAGUCAACGACUGUUUAUCUAAUUUAAAAGCUUUAUAAAUAAGGCAGUUUACUUGCGAUACAUCGUGAAAAAAACGCUUUGCAUUUAGUAGAAACAAUUAUUUCCCGUAUGUUUCAAUAACAUAAUAUGUCAGUAACUCAGCCUCAAAACCUUCUUAAAAAAUAAAGCAAUACAUUUUUGAUGUCGUAAAAUUUUCUUUUUUUGUUUGUUGUCGUACAAUCUGGAGGUCAGUUCCUUUAAUAUGAUGAAGAGAUUUAUCACAUGUUUCCUACUUAAUCACCAGUGUAUGUGUGAAAUGUUACUUGAUAUAAAUUGUUAGAUAUUUAUAAAAAUAUAUUGUAUAUAUAUAUAUCAUAUUGUUCUCAGGUCAUAAGGUUAUUUUGCAACUGAGUCCGCUUCCGGUACGGAGGACUUCGUAUUGCAUGGAAUUGUUCGUUCACUUAUGUGUAAUUAGUUUAGUGUUUGCAUUUGUAUUUAUAAUUAUGUCUCCCACCACACAGUGGUGUGGGAGACAUAUUGAUUUACUCCUGUCUGUCUGUCUUUCACAAAGCUUGUCCGCCCUCUAAGUCGAACAUUUCUCAUCCGAUCUUCACCAAACUUGAAAAAAAAAUGUGUUUGACUAUAAGAACUCGGCAAAGUUCGAUAACUAGCCAAAUCGACCAAGGCACUUAGAAGUUAUGGUCCUUGAAAGUAACUACCAACAACUACCGGUGUACAUUGUAAACUGGUUACUCCACUACCGAUACAGCAUUGUAGACUGGUGUGGCAUUAUAGAAUUUUAGACCGGUAACUCCAACACUACCGAUACAUCAUUGUAGACCGAUUACUCUAACAUGCGAAUACCAAAAUGCCACAAACAGUAUACAAAGACAGACUUACUAUUCAGAUUAUUAUGCAGUUGUGAGAGACAUGCGCUUUUCUCAAAAGCACCUCUAGUUCCUUUCACGAAAAACAGUAAAAAUUGUCUGUUUUUGUAUAAGUUCACCCUCAGACUGGCUUUAUUACGUAUAAUUUUGAUGACGUAUGCGGGGCUUGGGUAGUACUCUUGUUUAUCAAAGGUUCAUAUCUACAUUAAAUGUAAUAUUUUACAUACAGGAAAAAUGUAGUUCAUUAUAUAUUUAAUGUUGUAACUAUUGUCCAUUAGUUCUUGAUGGAAUAAAGUUAUUUGUAUCCUACACAUGUAAGUUUAUUUGCAUCUGUUCCGAUGUCUUGUACAUUAUUAUUUUGUACUAUUAUUUUGUAUAUAAAUGAAUCUAUGUCUUACGUAUAUUGAUCUUAUAUUAUUCAAUUUAUUUUUGUCUAUGAGCAUGAAUGAUAAAAAUGGAUUUUAAACGGGUGCAGUUUCAGUAGUGAAGUUAUUUGACGAGUUGAAUUGAUUAAUAUAGAUCACUCGGUUAACAUAUAGUACCAUUUAAUCAACGAAUUCAAUAACUGUACUUCAAUGAGAAGUUUUUUGAGAACUAUUUUAUCACAAAGAGAGAAUACACGCCUUACACCGACACCAAUACUUUAUACCCUUUUCCCGGCGUUAUUCCGAGCCCCUUAACUGGUAUUCAAAGUCUUGUCAGUAACAACUUUUUAAAUUUCAAAAGUGUUUUUACUAUACAAUGAUACUCCAACAUCUCGACUUAAAAUAUCCACAUGUAGAAAAAUUCUAGGGAUUGUUGUCAAUGAAUAAUCUAGGCUUUCACAUGAUGACCCUCACCCUCUGAAACAGCCAGAUACUUCCUCGUUGAACCGAAACUAAUGCGUUUGUGUAACAAUUCUUUUUUAAAUUACGAACAGAUAUUUAACUGUGCUUGCAGACGAAAAUGUUUUACAAAACUUGGUUUCAGUUUCUGUAAGGUUAUAUAUUACCCCAGUGAUUUAAGAUAAGCAAAUGUUUUGCCAAAUCUUUUUGUUGUGUAUGUAUCUAUGAUAAAGUAAAAGAUACAACUUUGUUUUUAUUAGCUCACCAGAGCACAGAGUGCCCAAGGUGAGCUAUUGUGACCGGUCAUUGUCCGGCGUCCGCCGUACUUCGUGCGUCUUCCGUCGUCCUUCAACAUUUGCCUUUUGAACACUCUAGAGGCCAAAUUUGUAAACCAAUCUUCAUGAAACUUGGUCAGAAUGUUAGUCUUAAUAAUUUCUAGGUCAGCUUUUAAACUUGGUUAUGUGAGGUCAAAAACUAAGUUAGUAGGCCAGAUCAAAGGAAAAGUUUGUGUACACUCUGGAGACCACAUGUUUUACCCAAUCUUAAUGAAACUUGAUCAGAAUGUUAGUCCUAAUAAUUUCUAGGUCGAUUUCGAAACUGGGUCUUACGGGUUUAAAAAAGUAGACAUGUGGGUCAGAUCAAAGGAAAAGCGUGUGAACACUCUAGAGACCACGUUUGUAAACCAAUUUUUAUGAAUUUUGGUCAGAAUGUUAGUCUUGAUGAUUUCUAGGACAAGUUUGAAACUGGGUCAUGUGAGGUCAAAUACCAGGUCAGUAGGUCAGAUCAAAGGAAAAGUUUGUGAACACUCUGGAGACCACAGUUUUGACCCAAUCUUUAUGAAUCUUGGUCAGAAUGUUAGUCUUGAUGAUUUCUAGGUCAAGUUUGAAACUGGGUUAUGUAGGAUCAAAAGCUAGGUUAGUAGGCCAGAUCAAACGAAAGCUUGUAAACAGUCUAGAGACUACAUCUUUUACCCAAUCAUUAUGAAACUUCGUCAGUCUUGAUGAUCUCUAGGUCAAAUUCGAAACUGGGUCUUAUGGGUUCAAAUACUAGAUCAGUAGGUCAGAUCAAAGGAAAAGCUUGUGAACACUGUAGAGACCAUAUUUUGACCAAUCUUUAUGAAACUUUCUUAGAAUAUUAGUCUUGAUGAUCUCUCAGUAAAGUUAGAAACUGGGUCUGGCGGGUUUAAAAAUUAGGUCAGUAGGUCAGACCAAAGAAAAAGCUUGUGAACACUGAAGAGAGGACAUUUUUGACCCAAUAUGUAUGAAACUUAGUCUUGAUGAUCUCUAGGAUAAGUGCUUAACUGGGUUAUUUGAAGUAAAAACUAGGUCAGUAGGUCAGAUCAAAGGAAAAGUUUGUGACACUCUAGAGACCACAUUUGCAAUUCAAUCUUUAUGAAACUUAGUCAGAAUGUUAGUCUUAAUGAUCUCUAGGUCAAGUUUGAAUCUUAGUCAUGUUUGGUCUAAAACUGGAACAGUAGGCAAGAUCAAAUGAAACAUUUGUGAACACUCUAGAGACAGCAUUUUUGACCCAAUAUUUAUGAAACUUGGUCAGAAUGUUAGCUUGAUGAUCUCUAGGUCAAGUGUGAAACUGUGUCAUGUUGGAUCAAAAACUAGGUCACCUGGUCAAAUCAAAGUAACAUCUUGUGAACACUCUAGAGGCCACAGUUGUGUCUCAGUAUUUAUGAAACUUAGUCAAAAAGUUUGCCUUGAUGAUUUCUAGGUCAAUUUUGAAUCUGGGUCAUGUGUGGUCAAAAUCUAGGUCACCUGGUUAAAUCAAAGGAAACGCUUGUUCACGAUUUAGAGGCCAUAGUUGUAACUCAAUCGUUAUAAAACUGGGUCAGAAUGUUUGUCUUAUCAUUUCUAGGUCAAGUUUGAAUCUUGGUCAUGUAUGUUCAAAAACUAGGUCACUAAGCCAGAUCAAAGGAAAAUGUUUCCAGCACUCAAAGAGACCACAACUUAAGUUUGAAACUCAUGAGAAUUAGUGAGAAUGUUUGUUUUGAUAAUCUGUAGGUCAAGUUCGAAUCUGGAUCAUGUGAGGUCAAAAACUAGGUCACUCGGUCAAAUCAAGGGAAAAGCAUGUGAACACUCUAGAGGCGACAGUUGUAACCAAAUCUUUAUGAUUUAAUCAGAAUGUUUGUCUUGAUGAUCUUUAGGUCAUGUUCAACUCUUGGUCAUGUGGGGUCAAAAACUAGGUUAGUAGGCCGGAUCAACUCUGGUGAGCAAUAAAAAGGACCAAGAUGAGGAAUAUAAAGUAUGUUAUGAUAAUAAAUUUCUUUCGUUUUGAAAUACAGUUUUAGUGUGUUUCAUCUAAUUAGCGUGAUACAAACAAGUCUGUUUAUGCACUAUAAUAACGUUUAUAUUUCAUUAUGAUGAAUAUUUUAUGCAUUAUGUAGUAUCGGUUCUAAGUCGAUGUAUGAUAUAUCAGAAUGGUAUGAAUACUGAACUGCAUAAAAUUUACGGAAAUGAUUAAAAGAUGUCAUUAAG